Molecule: ribosomal RNA, 404 nt
Filed under: uncultured bacterium
Lineage: Bacteria
Description: bacterial SSU rRNA
Rfam family: Bacterial small subunit ribosomal RNA
Source: RNAcentral
AACGAACGCUGGCGGCGCGCCUAAUACAUGCAAGUCGAGCGAGAAGACGUAGCAAUACGUUUGUAAAGCGGCGAACGGGUGAGGAAUACAUGGGUAACCUACCCUCGAGUGGGGAAUAACUAGCCGAAAGGUUAGCUAAUACCGCGUACGCUUCUUGGACUUCGGUUCAGGGAGGAAAGCGAUACCGUGGGUAUCGCGCUCUUGGAUGGGCUCAUGUCCUAUCAGCUUGUUGGUGAGGAACGGCUCACCAAGGCUUCGACGGGUAGCUGGUCUGAGAGGACGAUCAGCCACACUGGCACUGCGACACGGGCCAGACUCCUACGGGAGGCAGCAGUAAGGAAUAUUGCGCAAUGGGCGAAAGCCUGACGCAGCGACGCCGCGUGGGGGGUGAAGGUCUUCGGAUU